RNAcentral lists this ribosomal RNA (427 nucleotides) under uncultured Ferrimonas sp. RNAcentral describes it as "bacterial SSU rRNA". It matches the Rfam family "Bacterial small subunit ribosomal RNA", at positions 353 to 772 of the family's 1533-position model. The record is from RNAcentral. Lineage: Bacteria; Pseudomonadati; Pseudomonadota; Gammaproteobacteria; Alteromonadales; Ferrimonadaceae.
AGUGGGGAAUAUUGCACAAUGGGCGCAAGCCUGAUGCAGCCAUGCCGCGUGUAUGAAGAAGGCCUUCGGGUUGUAAAGUACUUUCAGCGAGGAGGAAAGGGUGUGAGUUAAUACCUUACAUCUGUGACGUUACUCGCAGAAGAAGCACCGGCUAACUCCGUGCCAGCAGCCGCGGUAAUACGGAGGGUGCAAGCGUUAAUCGGAAUUACUGGGCGUAAAGCGCAUGCAGGCGGUUUGUUAAGCGAGAUGUGAAAGCCCCGGGCUCAACCUGGGAACUGCAUUUCGAACUGGCAAACUAGAGUCUUGUAGAGGGAGGUAGAAUUUCAGGUGUAGCGGUGAAAUGCGUAGAGAUCUGAAGGAAUACCAGUGGCGAAGGCGGCCUCCUGGACAAAGACUGACGCUCAGAUGCGAAAGCGUGGGGAGCAAA